CGUAGGGUGCAAGCGUUAAUCGGAAUUACUGGGCGUAAAGCGUGCGCAGGCGGUUUUGUAAGUCUGUCGUGAAAUCCCCGGGCUCAACCCGGGAAUUGCGAUGGAGACUGCAAGGCUAGAAUCUGGCAGAGGGGGUAGAAUUCCACGUGUAGCAGUGAAAUGCGUAGAGAUGUGGAGGAACACCGAUGGCGAAGGCAGCCCCCUGGGUCAAGAUUGACGCUCAUGCACGAAAGCGUGGGGAGCAAACAGGAUUAGAUACCCUGGUAGUCCACGCCCUAAACGAUGUCUACUAGUUGUCGGGUUUUAAUUAACUUGGUAACGCAGCUAACGCGUGAAGUAGACCGCCUGGGGAGUACGGUCGCAAGAUUA
RNAcentral lists this ribosomal RNA (369 nucleotides) under uncultured organism. Its description in RNAcentral is "bacterial SSU rRNA". It matches the Rfam family "Bacterial small subunit ribosomal RNA", at positions 526 to 896 of the family's 1533-position model. The record is from RNAcentral.